Non-coding RNA from Megalops atlanticus (tarpon), 83 nucleotides. Lineage: Eukaryota; Metazoa; Chordata; Actinopteri; Elopiformes; Megalopidae. The record is from the annotation of a GenBank genome assembly.
AGCUGGUGGCCAAGUGGUUAAGGUGUUGGACUUAAGAUCCAAUGGAUGCAUGCCCAUGUGGGUUUGAACCCCACUUCUGGUAG